Long non-coding RNA from Homo sapiens (human), 1737 nucleotides. The record is from Ensembl. NCBI's taxonomy places the organism in Eukaryota, Metazoa, Chordata, Mammalia, Primates, Hominidae.
AUAGUUGUAUUAUGUUAGGUGUAAUUAUGACCUUAUUAUUGUCUUUAUUUGAAAAUUAUGUAUGAUCUCAGGAGAUGUGUAUGGGUUCAAGUUGACAAGGGGUGGACUUGUGAUGGUUAAUACUAAGUGUCAACUUGAUUGGAUUGAAGGAUUCGAAGUAUUAAUCCUGGGUGUGUCUGUGAGGGUGUUGCCAAAAGAGAUUUGAGUCAGUGGGCUGGGGAAGGAAAAUCUACUCUUAAUCUAGUGGGCACAAUCUAAUCAGCUGCCAGCAAAUAUAAAGCAGGCAGAAUAACAUGAAAAGAGUGAGACUGGCCUAGCCUCCCAGCCUAUAUCUUUCUCCCAUACUGGAUGCUUCCUGCCCUCAAACAUCGGACUCCAAGUUCUUCAGUUGUGAGACUCAGACUGGCUCUCCUUGCUUCUCAAGCUUGCAGACAGCCUAUUGUGGGACAUUGUGAUCGUAAAUGGCUGAGGAAAGAGACUUACUGGUAUCUACAGACUGGGUCAUCCUAUCUACUUGUUUUUUACAAUUCUCCUCUACUGAGGUCAUCCUUUGGUGAGUAUUCACAUGGAACACAAAUGUCUUUAUGUCCUUUGCCCAUUUAAAAAGGUGUAUCCACAUACCUCUUCAUCAUAUUUCUUUUGUCACCGGUUUUUCACCAUGUUUCUUCCAAGCCCUUGACCAUCCAGCCAAGCUAUUGACUACAGCCCAUGAAUUGGUAUAUAAUCACACAUCUGGCCCUUUCUCCUUCCACACAAAGCACACGACCAGGGGCACUGCCCAAAGUUUACCCCACUAAAAAGAUAUUCCUUCACCUUUGGACUUUCAGAGAUGUCUUAGAAAGGGGCUGUAGAGCUGCAGCUAGCUGUCUACUGUCAGUAGUACCCACAUAUUGUUCAGAACUAUCUAUUAACCAGGCCUGAGUCUUCUCUUCCCAUCAGCUGAUCAUAGCGAACUUCCCAUGAGGUUACAGCUACAGGCUGAGAAGAGGAGCCAUUGUAGCAAAGCAGAAACCAUGGACAUUUGUGCCACUUCUUCAUGGACCUUACUUGUGCCUUCAGGACCUGCCUGGGUUUGAUCAUGUAUAUACCACUUACAUUGAUGAUGAAGUGCUGCUGUGCAUGCCUAACUUUAUGGCUUGGUGGAUCAGAGAACAUCCAGUUCAUAAUAGGGAUCUUGGGUCACAUGGUAACUUGGUGGCCUGUGGUCAAGCUUUCAGUUUCUACUAAGGCUCAGUAGCAGGCCAAGAGCUGUCUCUCAAAAAGAGAGUAGUUAUUUGUGGAUGACAGCAGGGCAGUGCUCCAAAAUCCUAAAGGCCUUUGUUGCAAUUCACCUAUGGAGGCCUGCCAAAGGCUGCAAACAUUAUCCCUAUCUGCCACUGACACCUCAAGUACGCUUGGAGCUGCUAGGUCAUAUGGCCCAAGUGGCAGAGCAGCUUGCACAGCAGCCUAGACCUGUUGUGGAGCCUUCUCCUGCUUUAGACCCUACUCAAAACUAGCAGCUUUUUGAGUUUUUUGGUAAAUGAGCUAGAAUUUACCAAAUGGAAUUUCACCCCUGUGGUUUGAAUGUCUCCCCUCUAAAAUUCAGGUCUUGCCAAUUAGAUAGUAUUAACCCUUUUCCUGUUUAGAAUUUUAAAAAUGCAGCUCAUGGCCAGCACUCAUUUAAUUUUACUUAAACAUGCUCUUUGAGGCUGCAGCAAAUCUGACUUGAUUUUCCAAUGUGAAAAUAAAAUAUAAAAA